AGAGUUUGAUCAUGGCUCAGGACGAACGCUUGCGGCGUGCCUAAAAAAUGCAAGUCGAGCGGAGGAGAGGCUUCGGUUUCUCCUUAGCGGCGAACGGUCGCGUAACACGUAAGCAACCUGCCCCGAAGACCGGGACAACAUUCCGAAAGGGGUGCUAAUACCGGAUGUGGCCGCCUGGGGACAUCUCCUGGCGUCUAAAUCACUUGUUGGCUUCGGGAGGGGCUUGCGGCCUAUCAGUUAGAUGGGGGGGUAACGGCCUCCCAUGACGACGACGGGUAGCUGGUCUGAGAGGAUGGUCAGCCGGACUGGGACUGAGAGACGGCCCAGACUCCUACGGGGGGCAGCAAUUAGGAAUCUUGUGCAAUGGGCGAAAGCCUGACACAGCGACGCCGCGUGAGGGAGGACGGCCUUCGGGUUGUAAACCUCUUUUGACGAGGAAGAAACAAAUGACGGUACUCGUCGAAUAAGCCCCGGCUAACUCCGUGCCAGCCGCCGCGGUAAUUC
This 504-nucleotide ribosomal RNA is filed under the name uncultured bacterium. RNAcentral describes it as "bacterial SSU rRNA". It matches the Rfam family "Bacterial small subunit ribosomal RNA", at positions 8 to 526 of the family's 1533-position model. The record is from RNAcentral.